This 90-nucleotide ribosomal RNA is filed under the name Escherichia coli. Lineage: Bacteria; Pseudomonadati; Pseudomonadota; Gammaproteobacteria; Enterobacterales; Enterobacteriaceae. The record is from RNAcentral.
ACCUGACCCCAUGCCGAACUCAGAAGUGAAACGACGGAGGGCCGAUGGUAGUGUGGGGUCUCCCCAUGCGAGAGUAGGGAACUGCCAACC